This is a non-coding RNA of Glycine max (soybean), 71 nucleotides long. Lineage: Eukaryota; Viridiplantae; Streptophyta; Magnoliopsida; Fabales; Fabaceae. The record is from Rfam.
GCACCAGUGGUCUAGUGGCAGAGUAGUACCCUGCCACGGUACAGACCCGGGUUCGAUUCCCGGCUGGUGCA